RNAcentral lists this ribosomal RNA (253 nucleotides) under uncultured bacterium. RNAcentral describes it as "partial 16S ribosomal RNA". It matches the Rfam family "Bacterial small subunit ribosomal RNA", at positions 524 to 776 of the family's 1533-position model. The record is from RNAcentral.
UACGUAGGGUGCAAGCGUUAAUCGGAAUUACUGGGCGUAAAGCGUGCGCAGGCGGUUUUGUAAGUCUGACGUGAAAGCCCCGGGCUCAACCUGGGAAUUGCGUUGGAGACUGCAAGGCUUGAAUCUGGCAGAGGGGGGUAGAAUUCCACAUGUAGCAGUGAAAUGCGUAGAGAUGUGGAGGAACACCGAUGGCGAAGGCAGCCCCCUGGGUCAAGAUUGACGCUCAUGCACGAAAGCGUGGGGAGCAAACAGG